ACGUAGGUGGAAAGCGUUGUCCGGAUUUACUGGGCGUAAAGCGAGCGCAGGCGGUUCUUUAAGAAUGAUGUGAAAGCCUUAGGCUCAACCGGAGAAGGACAUCGGAAACUGGGAAACUUGAGUGCAGAAGAGGAGAGUGGAAGUCCACGUGUAGCGGUGAAAUGCGUAGAUAUAUGGAAGAACACCAGGGGCAGAGGCGGCAGGCUGGGCUGUAACUGACGCUGAGGCUCGAAAGCAUGGGUAGCAAACAG
RNAcentral lists this ribosomal RNA (251 nucleotides) under uncultured prokaryote. RNAcentral describes it as "partial 16S rRNA". It matches the Rfam family "Bacterial small subunit ribosomal RNA", at positions 525 to 775 of the family's 1533-position model. The record is from RNAcentral.